GGUUAGUUUGAGUGCAGUGGUGUUUACGACUAAUUGAUCACAACCAGUUACAGAAUCCUUUGUUCCUUCUCCACUCCCACUGCUUCACUUGACCAGCCUUAA
RNAcentral lists this Y RNA (102 nucleotides) under Microcebus murinus (gray mouse lemur). RNAcentral's name for it is "Y RNA (ENSMICG00000042609.1)". It matches the Rfam family "Y RNA". Rfam says of the family: Y RNAs are components of the Ro ribonucleoprotein particle (Ro RNP), in association with Ro60 and La proteins. The record is from Rfam by way of RNAcentral. Lineage: Eukaryota; Metazoa; Chordata; Mammalia; Primates; Cheirogaleidae.